UUUUUUUUUUAAAGUAGCUGCUGAACACAGGAGAAUCUGCCUUUUUCUUGAAUCGUGGUUUUUUUGUUUUUUUUUUUUUCAAGACGGAGUGUUGCUGUUGUCGCCCGGGCUGGAGUGCUGUGGUGCGAUCUUGGCUAAUUGCAACCUCCGCCUCCCAGAUUCAAGCGAUUGUCCUGCCUCAGCCUCCCGAGUAGCUGAGAUUACAGGCACGCACCACCGUGCCUGGCUAAUUUUUGUGUUUUUAGUAGAAACAGGAUUUCACCAUGUUGGCCAGGCUGGUCUCAAACUCCUGACCUUGUGAUCCACCUGCCUCGGCCUCCCAAAGUGCUGGGUUUACAGGCGUGAACCACUGCACCCGGCCUGAAUCAUGGUUUUUUGAAACCAUUGGCAUCUGAACCUGUAGCUCUCUCUGGUAGUGUUGUGUGGUUUUAAAUGUCAUGUGAGCUGAGUUACUGACCUCAACCUACUGCCAGAUGAAGGUGUGAUCCUGUGAUACCAAUCUUGAGGGUCCCUUCUAGUUUUAGCAGUCAGUGACUUCUCUUGUUUAUUUUUGUUUGAAAAAGUAAAAGGCUCUCUUUUUGGCUAUAGAGUUGCAUCUUGAAAUUUUUGACAAAUUACAUAGAGCUGAAGAAGGAUACAAGUUUUGAUAUCUUAAAAUCACAGGGUUGAAGCUUGAAAGGACAGUAUUGGCAUUGCAGCUAAGUGGGAGUGUGAGGAAGCGCCUUCUCUAGGGCAGGUAAUUGCAUCUGUUAAUGUGGUCCUUGGGCCCCUGAGUUGCUGCCUUCCAAUCAGAAUUCCCUUAGCAUUAGCCAGUGACGCCUGAAUUAAUCUCAGGUAGGACUUCUAACUUUUUUCCAAAAUUAUUUUUGUGCAGAGGUUUAUCUAGAUUUUUCUUCUAAAUGUCCUCCUCCCCACUUGUUUUAUUAUUACUGUUUUUUUCUCUCUUUAAUUUUUUUUUUUUUUUAAUAGAGACAUGGUCUCACUAUGUUGCCUGGGCUGAUCUCAGACUCCUGGGCUCAAGUGAUCCUCCUGCCUCAGCUUCCCAAAGUGCUGGGAUUAUAGGCGUGAGCCAUUGCGCCUGGCUCUGUUACUGUUUUUCUAACCUGAGUUACUUAGGAUCAUAUUUUCAUUCUUUUUUAAAAAGAUGGGAGUUUUCUGAACUUUUCCUUAACUAAAAAGUGGAAUGCAUCUUAAUAUUUUCCUUUUUUUACUUGUGUUUCUCCCCAGGGAGGGAAAAACAUAUUUAUUGUGACAGAAUUUAGCAUAUUUUAGGCCACAUUAAAAUACUGAUAAAUGUAUUAAUCAGUGAAAAUAGGUUAUAGUGAAAAAUAUAUACCAUUUGAUUAAUAAAAAUGUUAUUGGAAAAAUGCAAGAACUGCUGUAAGAAUUGCUAACAUUGUGUUGGAAAAUAAAUAUACUAAGCUAAGAAACAAUGGGAAACUGUCAUAUGUAGGGCCAACAGCCUUUUUUUUUUUAAACCCUUCCAAUUUAUUAAUAUCUAGUCUAAUAAACCCUGAUUUAUAGGACCUCUGCACCUUUUUUGACUUUUUAUUCAUCCAUUCUUAAUAUUCUACACUAUGACAAAAUCCUUAAAACUCCAUUAUUGAUGAAAUGGGAACAGACUUUUGUUUUUGUAUGUUGGUGUUCUCUGAGUGGUGAAGGCCCAGGGAGAAUGUUUUGUUUGGUGGUCACUUAGCAUUUGAAAACAUCCACUUCCUUGUGACUUAGCUGGGUAUCUUUUAACAUCUGGAAGCCACGUCCCUGAUUGAAAUCUCUGGAGACAACUUACCUUUCACCAACUUGUCUGCCAAAUUGCACCAUGGACCAAGAUUGCAGUGGCUGCAUCAAGUCUAGGCCUGCCCUGAAGUCUGGAUUUGUAAGUCCCCCAUUUCAAAUGGGGCAGAAGGCAGAGGAGCAGAGGAGCCACUGUGCCUUUCGCUGUCCUGGAGCCAGUUGGCCUUCUGGUUUUGGUGAACCCUGCUUUUAUAAGAGGACUCCCUGGCAUCUUCCAGUUUCCCGCUACUUGUUUUAUGUAUUAUUUUAUGUCUGUGUUUGUCCUGGAGUGCUGUAACUCCUUUCACUGUCUGCUGUAAGUUCAACUUCUUCAAUAAAAGAAAUGUUUCAAAUUGGA
This 2131-nucleotide long non-coding RNA is filed under the name Homo sapiens (human). RNAcentral's name for it is "novel transcript". The record is from RNAcentral. Lineage: Eukaryota; Metazoa; Chordata; Mammalia; Primates; Hominidae.